This 449-nucleotide ribosomal RNA is filed under the name Bacillus cereus. RNAcentral's name for it is "bacterial SSU rRNA". It matches the Rfam family "Bacterial small subunit ribosomal RNA", at positions 356 to 795 of the family's 1533-position model. The record is from RNAcentral. Lineage: Bacteria; Bacillati; Bacillota; Bacilli; Caryophanales; Bacillaceae.
GGGUAUUCUUCCGCAAUGGACGAAAGUCUGACGGAGCAACGCCGCGUGAGUGAUGAAGGCUUUCGGGUCGUAAAACUCUGUUGUUAGGGAAGAACAAGUGCUAGUUGAAUAAGCUGGCACCUUGACGGUACCUAACCAGAAAGCCACGGCUAACUACGUGCCAGCAGCCGCGGUAAUACGUAGGUGGCAAGCGUUAUCCGGAAUUAUUGGGCGUAAAGCGCGCGCAGGUGGUUUCUUAAGUCUGAUGUGAAAGCCCACGGCUCAACCGUGGAGGGUCAUUGGAAACUGGGAGACUUGAGUGCAGAAGAGGAAAGUGGAAUUCCAUGUGUAGCGGUGAAAUGCGUAGAGAUAUGGAGGAACACCAGUGGCGAAGGCGACUUUCUGGUCUGUAACUGACACUGAGGCGCGAAAGCGUGGGGAGCAAACAGGAUUAGAUACCCUGGGUAGUC